Molecule: ribosomal RNA, 497 nt
Filed under: uncultured bacterium
Lineage: Bacteria
Description: partial 16S ribosomal RNA
Rfam family: Bacterial small subunit ribosomal RNA
Source: RNAcentral
GAUGAACGCUGGCGGCGUGCCUAAUACAUGCAAGUCGAGCGAACAGACGAGGAGCUUGCUCCCCUGACGUUAGCGGCUGACGGGUGAGUAACACGUGGAUAACCUACCUAUAAUACUGGGAUAACUUCGGGAAACCGGAGCUAAUACCGGAUAAUAUAUUGAACCGCAUGGUUCAAUAGUGAAAGACGGUUUUGCUGUCACUUAUAGAUGGAUCCGCGCCGCAUUAGCUAGUUGGUAAGGUAACGGCUUACCAAGGCGACGAUGCGUAGCCGACCUGAGAGGGUGAUCGGCCACACUGGAACUGAGACACGGUCCAGACUCCUACGGGAGGCAGCAGUAGGGAAUCUUCCGCAAUGGGCGAAAGCCUGACGGAGCAACGCCGCGUGAGUGAUGAAGGUCUUCGGAUCGUAAAACUCUGUUAUUAGGGAAGAAAAAAUGUGUAAGUAACUAUGCACGUCUUGACGGUACCUAAUGAGAAAGCCACGGCUAACUACGUG